RNAcentral lists this transfer RNA (69 nucleotides) under Pealius mori. RNAcentral's name for it is "tRNA-Gln". Lineage: Eukaryota; Metazoa; Arthropoda; Insecta; Hemiptera; Aleyrodidae. The record is from RNAcentral.
UUAAUUUAAGUGGUGCACUUCACACUAAUCUUUGAUAUUAGAAAAAUUAAUUAACUUUAAUAAAUUAAA